RNAcentral lists this ribosomal RNA (328 nucleotides) under uncultured eukaryote. RNAcentral's name for it is "partial 18S ribosomal RNA". It matches the Rfam family "Eukaryotic small subunit ribosomal RNA", at positions 1470 to 1796 of the family's 1831-position model. The record is from RNAcentral.
CCCUUAGAUGUUCUGGGCCGCACGCGUGCUACACUGAUGCAUUCAACGAGUCUAAAACCUGGUCUGAUAGGGCUGGGUAAUCUUUUGAAAGUGCAUCGUGAUUGGGAUAGAUGAUUGCAAUUCUUCAUCUUCAACGAGGAAUGCCUAGUAAACGCAAGUCAUCAGCUUGCAUUGAAUACGUCCCUGCCCUUUGUACACACCGCCCGUCGCUCCUACCGAUUGAGUGGUCCGGUGAGGCUUUGGGAUCUGAGCGGAAAGAGCGUUUCGCUGUUUCUGCUCGGAAAACUCAGUCGAACCUUAUCAUUUAGAGGAAGGAGAAGUCGUAACA